Molecule: ribosomal RNA, 469 nt
Filed under: uncultured bacterium
Lineage: Bacteria
Description: partial 16S ribosomal RNA
Rfam family: Bacterial small subunit ribosomal RNA
Source: RNAcentral
GACGAACGCUGGCGGCGUGCUUAACACAUGCAAGUCGAACGAUGAAGCGCCAGCUUGCUGGUGUGGAUUAGUGGCGAACGGGUGAGUAACACGUGAGUAACCUGCCCCCUACUCUGGGAUAAGCCUGGGAAACUGGGUCUAAUACUGGAUAUGACCAAUCAUUGCAUGGUGUGUUGGUGGAAAGAUUUUUUGGUGGGGGAUGGACUCGCGGCCUAUCAGCUUGUUGGUGGGGUAAUGGCCUACCAAGGCGACGACGGGUAGCCGGCCUGAGAGGGCGACCGGCCACACUGGGACUGAGACACGGCCCAGACUCCUACGGGAGGCAGCAGUGGGGAAUAUUGCACAAUGGGCGAAAGCCUGAUGCAGCGACGCCGCGUGAGGGAUGACGGCCUUCGGGUUGUAAACCUCUUUCACCAGGGACGAAGCUAACGUGACGGUACCUGGAGAAGAAGCACCGGCUAACUACGUG